UAAAACGUAGGACGCAAGCGUUAUCCGGAGUUACUGGGCGUAAAGCGCGGGCAGGCGGUUCAUUAAGUCUGAUGUGAAAGCGCUCGGCUCAACCGAGCGAUGCCAUUGGAAACUAGCGAACUGGAGUCUGGCAGAGGUAGGCGGAAUUCCGGGUGGAGUGGUGAAAUGCGUAGAGAUCCGGAGGAACACCAGAGGCGAAGGCGGCCUACUGGGCCAGUACUGACGCUGAGCCGCGAAAGCCAGGGGAGCGAACGGGAUUAGAAACCCCGGUAGUCCUGGCCGUAAACGAUGUGUGCUGGGUGGUGGGGGGUCUCCCUUCACUGCCGAAGCUAACGCGAUAAGCACACCGCCUGGGGAGUACGGUCGCAAGGCUA
This 374-nucleotide ribosomal RNA is filed under the name uncultured bacterium. RNAcentral's name for it is "bacterial SSU rRNA". It matches the Rfam family "Bacterial small subunit ribosomal RNA", at positions 521 to 896 of the family's 1533-position model. The record is from RNAcentral.